This 466-nucleotide ribosomal RNA is filed under the name uncultured bacterium. Its description in RNAcentral is "partial 16S ribosomal RNA". It matches the Rfam family "Bacterial small subunit ribosomal RNA", at positions 28 to 507 of the family's 1533-position model. The record is from RNAcentral.
GAUGAACGCUGGCGGCGUGCUUAACACAUGCAAGUCGAACGGAAAGGCCCAAGCUUGCUUGGGUACUCGAGUGGCGAACGGGUGAGUAACACGUGGGUGAUCUGCCCUGCACUUCGGGAUAAGCCUGGGCAACUGGGUCUAAUACCGGAUAGGAGCACAUGUUGGAUGGGGUGGUGGAAAGUUUAUCGGUGUGGGAUUAGCUAGUGGCGUAUCAGCUUGUUGGUGGGGUAAUGGCCUACCAGGGCGUCGACGGGUAGCGGGCCUGGGAGGGUGUACGGCCACAUUGGGACUGAGGUACGGCCCAAACUCCUACGGGUGGCCGCAGUGCGGAAGCUUGCACCAUGGGCGCAAGCCUGAUGCAGCGAGGCCGCGUAGGGGAUGACGCCCUUCGGUUUGUAAACUCCUUUCGCUAUGGACGAAGCGUUAUGUGACGGUACCUGGAGAAGAAGCACCGGCUAACUACGUG